RNAcentral lists this long non-coding RNA (223 nucleotides) under Homo sapiens (human). RNAcentral describes it as "non-protein coding lnc-RNF170-1:1". The record is from RNAcentral. Lineage: Eukaryota; Metazoa; Chordata; Mammalia; Primates; Hominidae.
UUUGAUAUUUUAUGUACAGUAUGUAAUAUAUAUUUCGUGUACUUUGAUAUUUUAUGUACAGUAUAUAAUAUGUAUUUUGUGUACUUUGAUAUUUUAUGUACAGUUUAUAAUAUGUAUUUGGUGUAGUUUGAUUUUUUAUGUACAGUAUAUAAUAUGUAUUUGGUGUAGUUUGAUAUUUUAUGUACAGUAUAUAAUGUGUAUUUGGUGUACUUUGAUAUUUUAU